AUAUGUAUAAUAAAACGUAGGAUAAAUAAACAAAAGGCGCGUUAUUCGAUGAUUAGGAAAGCCAAUCUUUGGAAAAGUCGCGGUAAAAGAUCCGUCGUCGCGCGAUCUCUCGCGACACGAUUGGCAUAGGACGAAGGCAAGGGUGAAGAGGGUGUAAAGAGGGAGGAAGGGUGGCAGUCGGGACGAGUGCGCAAGCGCAAACGGAGGGAUUGGUCGUCGUGCCGCCGCGCCGGCCGAGCCCGUGGCCGAGCGUCAUCGGCAGUCAUCGGCGAACCGCGAUUGAACUCUCGUCGACUCCUUGAUAGGGGUAGAGAGCGAGAGAGAGAGAGAGAGAGAGAGAGAGAGAGAGAGAGAGAGAGGAACAGAGAGAGAGAAAUAGAGAGAAAGAGAGAGAGAGAGAGGGAGAACGAGAUAAAGAAAGAUAGAGAUAGAGAUAGAGAUAGAGAGAGAGAGAGAGACAGAGAGAGAGAGAGAGAGAGAGAGAGACAGAGAGACAGAGAAAUAGACAGAAAUAAAAAAAAGAAAAAUAGAGACAUAUAGAAUUAUUAGAUUUAGUAGAGAGCAUAGUUGUUGUUCUUUUUUUUUUUUUUUUUCCUUUUUCCUUUGCACGUUUCAGUAAAAUACGAACGAAAACACAAAGAAAAAGAAAAAAAGAAAAUGAAUCGUUUUCUUCGACGAAAUUUUAAGUAAGCACUACGUCGAGUAAAUAUAAUUUGUAUUGUUACGUUUGAUCGUAUCGGGGACAAGGUAGAAGAAAAUCGAAGAGUCGUCGUUUAUAGUAUCGCGCGAAUCGUUUUCUCUCGUGUGUCUCGUGCCGAGACUUCUCGCGUAGGUGUGGUGUGUGAAAAAGGAUUUUCUGUGACGAAGAACGAGUACCAACGUCGACUAAAGCAACUACUACGAUAUAUUACCUUUGCUGUUACACGAGGACGAGGACGAGGACGACGACGAGAACAAGGACGAGGACGACGACGUCAACGUCGACGAUUACGAUUACGACUACGACUACGACUACGACGAGGAAGACGACGACGUUGCUGUUACUGCUGCUGCUGUUGCUGUUACUAUUGCUGUUGCUGUUGCUGAUGGUGUUACUUCUAAUAUAGGAACGUGCACCAAGAGACGUCGUUGUACUAGGAAGGAAUUGGACGUUGGCCUUGCAUCCGGAGAUUGAUGAGCGUGUAAAGGAGGACACGGAGUAUAUUGGCAAAACGCGUCGCGCGCACCACUCUCGACGAAUGGGAAGGAUCCAAUGAGAGAUGGAGCCAUCGCCGUAAGAAUUCAAAGUCAGGAUAAAUAUGUUCUUCUGGAUGGCCGAAUAACCAUUGGAUAAACACAACGAAGAUGAAGCGGCCAUUGGUGCUGACUUGCUUUCUGCUGCUCCACUCCAGUAUCCUGGGUGCACCACGGACAGGCUGCAAAUUUCCAGAGGAGUGGAACGGACGGUGGUUUCAAUCGGGCAAUCCGGGCCUCGUAACCGUCAACGGAUCUAUCAUAUCCAACAAGGGUCAUUGCAUCGAGGUCAAAGACGACGACAAGUUCCUCUUAUACGACACGAAAGAGGGUUGCUAUAGGUGUAUGGUCAUGCACGAGAAACAUCCAAACGUAUUGCAGUACAAAGAAACUUAUUGUACGAUCGAAUCGCCGGAACCAAGUCUCGAGAUUAUUUGCAGUUACCUAACAAGCGAUGCCAUUUUGAUCUCCCUAUUUCGAACGGGAGCAGCACCCUUACCCUGUCCUAUAAAGGGACCUUUGGAGUUCACUUACAGUCAGGGAGACGGCGAAUGUAAUUGGCCACUCUCCCGUGCCGAAGUUUGCACGCAAGAGUCCCGUUUGCUUUUGCGUUAUCAGGCUUGCGCCAAUGUCCGUUCCUCCGAAAGCGUAGACGUCCAAUUAGAAUGUUUGGCGACCUGGAGAGAGGGCAGUACGAAUUACAUGGUAGCACGUUUGUACGGUGAUCGUAAGACGAACGACGAGGAAAGCUACAGGUGUUUUAUAUACACCAGAGGCUCGAACAACACGUGGCACAUGGCACAAAGCGGAGACGCCACUUGUACCGGCCUUCUUAGCAUCACGGAGGCUGCAAAGACGUUCAAAAUGAAACAGAAAUAUAUGACGGAACGGUGCGCUUACCCUUCAUGGGUUGUGGCACCGAAGUCAUGGGUGGCGUUGGAUCGAAUGGCUUCACGUCUCUUAGCCUCGACAUACAACCUGACGAUUCUCGAUCGAAACGAGACUCGAUUAGCCUGUCAUGCGACGGUACCAAUCGAGGAUCAUCAUCAUCAUUACUCAUCGGCGACGCAUACUUACGAUCAAAUGAUGUUUGUCGCCAAAGCUACACGUGACUGCAAAAACGGUUACGUUUGCAUCAUGUUUCAUAAAAGGGACGAACACGUGAUAGAGAUGCAACUAUCAAAAUGGAGCCAGCAGCCGGACGACGUGUGCAACUCGAGUACAUUCAACUCCCAUUCGACACCGUUCACGACGUUCAUUACAUCGGAUCCAAUGACAAGACAAUGCCCGUAUCUUGGUCAUUACGAAAUCGUUUCCGUGAUGUACUGGCAUAGCGCCGACAAUGUCGAGGAUACUGUAGGAGUGGACGGUGAGGUAAGCAUAGCCAACGUCGUCGAAGUAAAGGACGUUAGAGUGACGUCGACGCCGUUCCCAAGGCGAUGCCAUCACGAGAGAGUUCGUUGGUUGGAUAUAGGAUGCAGGACGCCCGAUCGAAUGGAGUUUGCGACCUCCUGCAGCGACGAAGCACUAUCCGUUUGAAAAUUUCAUCCACCUUUUCUACUUUUCAAUUACGACGAGUUUUCCCGUCCAUGAAAACGUCAGCUAUCCUAUACUACCUACCCUUCGACCGUUCAACAAAUAUCGGCUUUGGCGAAAGUUGUUCUUCGCACAGCUUCUCCUUACCCUCGAAUAAAAUCGAAUGUGUGGAUCCUAAACUCGAUGGGUACCCAUGAAGAGAGAACUCUAGGUGCACAUUUCUAUCGAUCUAAGUUUCUUACGGUUCUCGAGAUGAAAAUAGAAGAAGAAGAAGAAGAAGAAGAAGAAGAAGGAAGAGGAGGAGAAGGAGAAGGAGAAGGAAAAGGAGAAGAAGAAGAGAAAUGGGAGAGAGGGAGAGAGAGAGAGAGAGAGAGAGAGAGAAAUAAGGUGAACCGCAUUAUUAGUUUCUUGAACGAUGCUGGAUACCGAUUUUCUACUUACACAAAGCUAAAAGAGAGUGCUAUACCGAUAGAAAGAGAAGGAUAAAAUAAGAGAAAAGUAUUUGUGUCAUGGAACCUGGAUCGAGAACGACACGGCUUACUUGGUGGCGAGUACCGACGUCGGCCGUUAUUGCCUCGUUUACAGUGCAUCCGCCGCUACGACCGGAGAUAGAGAACUUUCUGUGACGGGU
Molecule: RNA transcript, 3400 nt
Organism: Vespa velutina
Lineage: Eukaryota; Metazoa; Arthropoda; Insecta; Hymenoptera; Vespidae
Exons: 12
Source: RefSeq, a predicted model, not a curated record